CUGCUAGGCGUAGGACUGGUGGUGGGGUGGAGGACGAAAUGAUGCUAACUGAGGUUGAGGAAAGGAUUGUUGCUUUGUGUGGUGGUGAAAGCUUUUCCACAGGAGAUGCACAUUUAGGCAUUCAGCCGUUUCCGGUAAGAAAUUCAGAAAUGCAAUUGGUAAGUAAUACUAGAAACACUCUGCAAGGUUUGCUGUCGUUUUUACAGCACCCAUUUUUUUGUGGAUUAGACCCUUUUUAGUGUUAAGUGAAUUUUAUAUUAAAUUUACCUUCCUGUUUCAGGAAAAUGAUACGCCGUCUCCAUCACCCGAAGCACAACCUAUAUACAAUACUAAUGAUGACAACAUUAAUGUACCACAACAACAGCAGAGUCAGGCACGGCCUACUGAGGAAUCAGCAGCUAUUGUAUUUUAUGAUUCCGCCCUGAUUGAGGACAGUCCAGCACCUCGAAAUUACAGACCACCAGCUAGUGCAAUUUCGAGAAAACUGUUUGCUUCCUCAUCCAGCUCCAUUGUUGGAACUAGCCAAAGCAUUUUACGGAAUAACCAGU
This is a long non-coding RNA of Helicoverpa zea (corn earworm), 548 nucleotides long. RefSeq lists it as uncharacterized. The transcript has 4 exons. The record is from RefSeq and is a predicted model, not a curated record. Lineage: Eukaryota; Metazoa; Arthropoda; Insecta; Lepidoptera; Noctuidae.